GACAGAGGGUGCAAACGUUGUUCGGAAUUACUGGGCGUAAAGCGAGUGUAGGCGGUUUGAUAAGUCGGAUGUGAAAGCCCGGGCUCAACCCGGAAGUGCACUCGAUACUGUCAAGCUAGAGUAUCGGAGAGGUUGGUGGAAUUCUCGGUGUAGAGGUGAAAUUCGUAGAUAUUCGGAAGAACACCAGUGGCGAAGGCGGCUCACUGGCCCGGUACUGACGCUGAGGUGCGAAAGCGUGGGAGCAACAGG
Molecule: ribosomal RNA, 249 nt
Filed under: uncultured bacterium
Lineage: Bacteria
Description: partial 16S ribosomal RNA
Rfam family: Bacterial small subunit ribosomal RNA
Source: RNAcentral